Molecule: ribosomal RNA, 1132 nt
Filed under: uncultured bacterium
Lineage: Bacteria
Description: partial 16S ribosomal RNA
Rfam family: Bacterial small subunit ribosomal RNA
Source: RNAcentral
UUGCCUGGGGGGAMAUMAAKWYCUAWYUAMUGGGGGAMAUAGRRUUUAAAMCVYUUUUUWWAMCGGGRAAAAAAAGGUACGCMCGCGCKCCYUUUUUAUUUAUCCGAWAUAAAWAGGAUCGGCWUACUCCYUCCAGCAGCCGCGGWAAUACGGAGAMYCGAGCGUWMCCSGAUUUAUUGGGGUUUAAAGGGAGCGUAGGCGGACGCUUAAGUCAGUUGUGAAAGUUUGCGGCUMACCSGWAAAUUGCAGUUGAUACUGGGUKUYUKAKUACGGUAGAGGCAGGCGGAAUUCGUGGUGUAGCGGUGAAAUGCUUAGAUAUCACGAAGAACUCCGAUUGCGAAGGCAGCCUGCUGGACUGUAACUGACGCUGAUGCUCGAAAGUGUGGGUAUCAAACAGGAUUAGAUACCCUUGGUAGUCCACACAGUAAACGAUGAAUACUCGCUGUUUGCGAUAUACAGUAAGCGGCCAAGCGAAAGCGUUAAGUAUUCCACCUGGGGAGUACGCCGGCAACGGUGAAACUCAAAGGAAUUGACGGGGGCCCGCACAAGCGGAGGAACAUGUGGUUUAAUUCGAUGAUACGCGAGGAACCUUACCCGGGCUUGAAUUGCAACUGAAUGAUGUGGAGACAUGUCAGCCGCAAGGCAGUUGUGAAGGUGCUGCAUGGUUGUCGUCAGCUCGUGCCGUGAGGUGUCGGCUUAAGUGCCAUAACGAGCGCAACCCUUAUCGAUAGUUACCAUCAGGUGAUGCUGGGGACUCUGUCGAGACUGCCGUCGUAAGAUGUGAGGAAGGUGGGGAUGACGUCAAAUCAGCACGGCCCUUACGUCCGGGGCUACACACGUGUUACAAUGGGGGGUACAGAAGGCAGCUACACGGCGACGUGAUGCUAAUCCCGAAAGCCUCUCUCAGUUCGGAUUGGAGUCUGCAACCCGACUCCAUGAAGCUGGAUUCGCUAGUAAUCGCGCAUCAGCCACGGCGCGGUGAAUACGUUCCCGGGCCUUGUACACACCGCCCGUCAAGCCAUGAAAGCCGGGGGUACCUGAAGUGCGUAACCGCAAGGAGCGCCCUAGGGUAAAACUGGUGAUUGGGGCUAAGUCGUAACAAGGUAGCCGUAAGCUUMACAAUCCCGCGCCA